ACACAUGCAAGUCGAACGGACAAUUGUUUAUAUCUUUGGUAUAAAUAAUUGUUAGUGGCAGACGGGUGAGUAAUGCGUAGGAAUCUACCUAGUAGUAUGGAAUAGCCAUUAGAAAUGAUGGGUAAUACUGUAUAAUCCCUGCGGGGGAAAGAUUUAUCGCUAUUAGAUGAGCCUACGUUAGAUUAGCUAGUUGGUAAGGUAAUGGCUUACCAAGGCUAUGAUCUAUAGCUGGUCUGAGAGGACGAUCAGCCACACUGGAACUGAGAUACGGUCCAGACUCCUACGGGAGGCAGCAGUGGGGAAUAUUGGACAAUGGGCGAAAGCCUGAUCCAGCUAUGCCGCGUGAGUGAAGAAGGCCUUCGGGUUGUAAAGCUCUUUCAAUAGGGAAGAUAAUGACGGUACCUAUAGAAAAAGUCCCGGCAAACUC
RNAcentral lists this ribosomal RNA (427 nucleotides) under Ehrlichia sp. Firat_3. Its description in RNAcentral is "bacterial SSU rRNA". It matches the Rfam family "Bacterial small subunit ribosomal RNA", at positions 51 to 503 of the family's 1533-position model. Lineage: Bacteria; Pseudomonadati; Pseudomonadota; Alphaproteobacteria; Rickettsiales; Anaplasmataceae. The record is from RNAcentral.